ACAGGGAUGACCGAUGGCUAGGGCGCCCCGGGAGUGAUGGAAGUUAACACGCGGGUUUUUCGGAAAGCACCUGAGACUUGGAGACUGGAGCCUGGGAAGGCCGUGCGAGGAAACUUCAAUGAAUCACACAAUCCUUACUCAGAGGCCAGGAAGGAAGCACUAAUGUCGAAACUCCUCGGAUGUCCCCCAGACUCCCGCCUGGGCCAUUAAUGGCCUCACAGAACUCCAUGGUAUUGGAUGGACCUCACUCCUGGGGCAUAUUUGUGUGGCUUCAAACUUUUUCUUGUGAUAAACAAGGCUACUAUGAAUAGCAGCGUGCAGAAACACUCCAUCUGUGAGACAGAUUCUUUGAAGCAGGAUUCCUAGACCAGAGGGUUUCUGCACGUGUCCUGUUGGCUGAUGGAAUACUGCAGUAUAUCCAGAGAAUUGCCUGGAAGAUGGGAUUUGCGGGCAUGAAACCAGGUAACGGAGUCCACCCAGCUGGGCCGUGUGGAAAAGUCUGGACCUCACUGUUCCACCUCUCCUCCCCAGAUCGCGGUAAUACUUGCAAAGGCUGUCAUUGGUCACAUUUCAUGUUUUCUCAUUUUAUGCUUGGUGUAACCAACGAUCCUGAAAAUAAUCAGUAUUAAUAUCCAGAUUUCACUGGGGAGAAAUGACUCUCAGAGAGCUGGCAUGACAGGCCUGUCCAAGGUCACAGGCUGAGCACAGACGAGCUGUCGUGGUGGCACCUGUGUCUGGGGCCACAGCACGAUGAACCUUCCCACCGUUCCCCUCCCAGCCUCAGACCCAAAAGGUGGAACAUGGACCUCCUAGCGCCUUCUUCCCUCAAUCAGACUUUUUAAACAGUUUCUCAGAUCAGGUCGUGGCACACACAACAGCCAUCUCGGGCCCACGCGGGAGUUACAAACCCUGUCCCCAUCACCUGGACGCACUGCGACCAAUGCUGAGCAGGAGAGCGUGCAAGGCGGCUGUAACACGGA
Molecule: long non-coding RNA, 980 nt
Organism: Ailuropoda melanoleuca (giant panda)
Lineage: Eukaryota; Metazoa; Chordata; Mammalia; Carnivora; Ursidae
Exons: 4
Source: RefSeq, a predicted model, not a curated record